UACGUAGGUGGCAAGCGUUGUCCGGAUUUACUGGGCGUAAAGAGCGUGUAGGCGGCCAAACAGGUCCGUUGUGAAAACUGGAGGCUUAACCUCCAGACGUCGACGGAAACCGUAUGGCUAGAGUCCGGAAGAGGAGAGUGGAAUUCCUGGUGUAGCGGUGAAAUGCGCAGAUAUCAGGAAGAACACCAAUGGCGAAGGCAGCUCUCUGGGACGGUACUGACGCUGAGGUGCGAAAGCGUGGGGAGCAAACAGG
RNAcentral lists this ribosomal RNA (253 nucleotides) under uncultured bacterium. Its description in RNAcentral is "partial 16S ribosomal RNA". It matches the Rfam family "Bacterial small subunit ribosomal RNA", at positions 524 to 776 of the family's 1533-position model. The record is from RNAcentral.